AGAGGCGGUGCAGGCGGGGCGGGGGCGCAGCCGAGGUGGCAGAAGCUCACAAGCGAUGCUGAUCUGACAUCCCAGCAACCUGCCUGCAGCUCUCCUCCAGCAGCAGUGUGAGCUCCCUGGGGCUCUGCAGUCUGGACCUGGAGUGACUACCUGUACCCAGAGAGGCUGACGGCCGCUCGGCAGGAGAAGAGCGGGAGGCCGGAUCGCGGGAUCCCCGUUCUCUGCCGCUUGUCGGUGAUCGGCGGCGGGGAAUGAAGCGGGAUUAAAUGGAAGAUCAGUGAAGGCGGCUGCGGGGCGGCGGCAGAGCUGUCUUCAGCACCUGGCCAUGGGGCUGCGCUCGGCUGCCUAGGAGCCCCCACCUUUCCACUCGCACUUCCCCCUUUGCAGAGGAGACUGAAUAAAACCAGGUAGGUUUUUUAAAGUUGUGUUUUCUAUCUUGGUUAAAUGUGUGUAGAGUUGGAGACCUCUGAGAGACUGUAUGCCCUGGAUAUGAAGGCAUGUUAACUUUGACAGGCUGCUGAAUAUCCUGAAACUCAAGUCUUGUAAACCACAUCCAGCUCUGGAUUCAAUUCACUGCUUUAGUCUAUGUGGUGUUUUUUUCAUUUUUUUCUAACUUGAACAGACAGAGGCUGACAUUUUGCAAGUGGUUCUUUACUGUUUCCUUUUGGUGUUUCUAUGGCUUAUCUAAUAUAAAAUCAGUGCUUUUUUUUCCUCCCAAAGAUGGAAUGAUAUUCCAUUAAAGUAUUUUUUGUAAAACUACAGUUUCUAAAUGUGCUGGACACACCAACUCUGGUGUCUGAAAUAUCAUGUUCAUGCUAAUGGGAGCAGCAGGCUUAGGAAGCUUCAUUUCCUCCUAUAGCACUGCUAAGACAUUUUCCUCAUGACUGGGAGAGACAACAUCUGAGACCAGGAGAGUUGGUCGGGUGAGAUAGAGCUGUUUCUUUCCUUGGUCUCGUAAGCUUCACUCAAGAGCACCAGUGAAAUAACAUCAUCAAAACUAAAUGCUUC
Long non-coding RNA from Cinclus cinclus, 1008 nucleotides. RefSeq lists it as uncharacterized. The transcript is spliced from 4 exons. The record is from RefSeq and is a predicted model, not a curated record. Lineage: Eukaryota; Metazoa; Chordata; Aves; Passeriformes; Cinclidae.